Molecule: ribosomal RNA, 253 nt
Filed under: uncultured Eubacteriales bacterium
Lineage: Bacteria; Bacillati; Bacillota; Clostridia; Eubacteriales
Description: uncultured Clostridiales bacterium partial 16S ribosomal RNA
Rfam family: Bacterial small subunit ribosomal RNA
Source: RNAcentral
UACGGAGGAUGCGAGCGUUAUCCGGAUUUACUGGGUGUAAAGGGAGCGUAGACGGCAGCGCAAGUCUGGAGUGAAAUCCCAUGGCUUAACCAUGGAACUGCUUUGGAAACUGUGUAACUGGAGUACAGGAGGGGCAGGCGGAAUUCCUGGUGUAGCGGUGAAAUGCGUAGAUAUCAGGAGGAACACCGGCGGCGAAGGCGGCCUGCUGGACUGAAACUGACGUUGAGGCUCGAAAGCGUGGGGAGCAAACAGG